This 500-nucleotide ribosomal RNA is filed under the name uncultured bacterium. RNAcentral's name for it is "partial 16S ribosomal RNA". It matches the Rfam family "Bacterial small subunit ribosomal RNA", at positions 28 to 507 of the family's 1533-position model. The record is from RNAcentral.
GACGAACGCUGGCGGCGUGCUUAACACAUGCAAGUCGAACGGGCCUGUCUUCUUUUUUGGGGGGUGGGUUGAGUGGCGAACGGGUGAGUAUCACGUGAGUAACCUGCCCUUCGGUCCUGGAUAACCGCUUGAAAGGGCGGCUAAUACGGGGUGGUCCGGUUGGUCCGCAUGGGCUGGUCGGGAUAGAUUCACUGUUUUUGGUGUUUCGGCGGGGGAUGGGCUCGCGGCCUAUCAGCUUGUUGGUGGGGUGAUGGCCUACCAAGGCGGUGCCGGGUAGCCGGGCUGAGAGGGUGGGCGGCCACACUGGGACUGAGAUACGGCCCAGACUCCUGCGGGCGGCAGCAGUGGGGGGUAUUGCACAAUGGGCGGAAGCCUGAUGCAGCGACGUCGCGUGAGGGAUGGAGGCCUUCGGGUUGUGAACCUCUGUUUCCGGUGGUGAAGGCCCUGUCCGUGUGGUGGGGUUGACGGUAGCCGGGGAUGAAGCGCCGGCUAACUACGUG